Non-coding RNA from Paramormyrops kingsleyae, 1422 nucleotides. Lineage: Eukaryota; Metazoa; Chordata; Actinopteri; Osteoglossiformes; Mormyridae. The record is from RefSeq and is a predicted model, not a curated record.
UUUAGAUUACUUCACAGUCAGCACAAGUACGUAGGCAAUACGUCGCAUAAACGGCGGAUGGUUGCAAUUGGAUCGCGUUCCAUUACGAAGCAUCACGUUUUAUUCGCGAUAACGUCGGACCGUCGCGGUGUUGAAAAGCGUUGCUCGUCUAAAUGUCGUAUCGUCGCUUUUAAGUCGAAGGUCGCUUUUUGGUAGGGAAAACUACGCAUCACGUCGGGUCUUGUUUAGAAAAGGGCUUGUUUGCCUCUGGAAGUAAUAAUAUUACUACAAUAAUAUUAUUUCAUGUAGUAAUAUUACUUGUCAUAUUAUAGGGUAUGGUAUGAUUCACACAGCUAUUUUAUAUACUGGACAUUGUUAAAUGUUUCUUGUUAUUAUCGAUAAUGUUUAUUUGAUAUCCUGCUUAUAUGACAGUAUUUUAAAUAAGAGUGCGCACUUGUGUGGAGAUCUAUUGAGAGAUGUCUCACUGUGGGUGAAGACUUGGCAAUGUCAGAUGGCUAUACAUGCAACUGUUCUUAAAUAAGUGUGUUGUUAGGGAGACAAUGGUCUGCUUCUGCAGUUGUAGUCCAUCAUGUUUUCGCUGAAAGUACUCCAGUGGUUUUCCAAUAAGUUCUGGGUGCUUUGUUUCGAUAUGCCACUUGAGUUUUGAUGGUUUUAGAGCUUCGUUUGAAAGUGUUUAAUCCACAAUACACACACUGUGCCUUGGGCUUACAGGGCUGUCUUAAAGCAAUGCAUUCUGGUCCUGACGCAAUGCAUCAUGGUUAGAUGUAAACGUGGUGCUGGCAGCCCUAUACGGACCAAUAGCCAGUCUUGAUUUUAAAUUCGCGGCCCAAUCUGUAGCCUUCGUGGCUCAUCAGUGGUUGAGAAACGUGGUUUUAUAAGAUAUUUUGUUCCCUGUUAAAUCAUCUUUAAAAGACAAGAAAAAAAAAGUCUAUUCCAUCGCCUACGCUUGGUUGGAAAGAUGUUCCUUCGAGAAAUUUGUUACCCACAGAGCAACUUGUACCAAGUCAAUGCACACUGUGCAGAGGAUGGUGGACUUCCACUGCAAGACAUUGAGGAGCUGAAGAACAUCGAAAUGCAGUUGGGAAAUGUUGACUUUAAACUGGUUUCCAAACUGUCACUGGCUGGGGUCAAACACUAAAGAAAACAGUCUGGAAGAUCUGUGGAAAGGUGUUUGCUCCCCAGUUGGCAGUUCAUUUAAACUGGUGUGGCAGAGGGGACAAAACACCGAUGAGGAAUACAAACCUCAUAGAUGUGAUUAUCCGUAAGUAAAACUAAUGUUUAGGCAAAGAGUCUGCAUUACGAAACCCACUGGUGUCUAGUCCAAGUGAGGCUGAAGCUGAAACGACCAUCAAAGAGUGGCUCGUGACAGGCUGACCAGGCGUGUCCGAUAGUUCUUUCCUUUCAGUAUUUUUUUUUUCUGUA